ACAACACCCGUAGAAUAUAAACUCUAGGCGCUAGGAACCGCGCCGGCGUGUAAAAUACCGGCGCAUCUACACAUCGCAUUCACACAUAAAUUCACGAAAACUUGGAGGUAUUCAGCCUGCCCCACCAUUUCCGCUUCACGGAGUUGGGUGAUGACUCGUUGCCACUCCCAAGUUUGUUCAGGAUCACCUUCGUCUCCCUGAUGCGGCCGCCGAAGUCCUUCUUCCACGAGUCAAAGUUCUGCUUCAGCCUCCGGAGCUCCAUGUCCGGGUUCAGGCUGGCAUCCGCUUGCCCGGACUUGACCUCAACUAUGAACGUGGCAUCAUCAGCAAAGACCUGGCUCCGCUGCUCAAAUUCUUCUGUUAGGCGGUUGAUGACGCUGAGCCCCGCAUUCAUUUCCCGCCCGGUGGUGCGUGGUACCAGCUGAGACCCACUGCCAACAUGGUUUCCAUUGAUCUCCCAGCUCUGAUCCACGGAUGAGUCCGACAUCCUAGGGGUCUCAUCCAGAGCAAGGC
RNAcentral lists this long non-coding RNA (513 nucleotides) under Setaria italica (foxtail millet). RNAcentral describes it as "long non-coding RNA (SITA_LNC006662)". Lineage: Eukaryota; Viridiplantae; Streptophyta; Magnoliopsida; Poales; Poaceae. The record is from RNAcentral.